AGCCGCCUUCUCCGAAUUCCGUCCCCUCUUCUCACUGAACAACAAUGGAGUCCAAACCCUCAAUCGGAUUCGGACCCUCCAGUAGUCCUCUGCUCUCUCUUUCUACCUUCGUCCACCAACACUGGUCCCGACUCGGUGCCGAACUCACCACUCGUUUCGACGAAGCUAAGCGGCUGACUUCAAAAUUCGCCGCCGACUUUGUUCCGCCGCCGCCACUGCCGGCAUCGCAUUCUUAUCCUCUAUCUCUUCCAUUUGCUUCUGUGUCGCAGCGUCAAGAUAAGGUCCGUAAAAACGCCGGUUUGAGCUCAGACUAUGUGGCUAAGACACUAAUUGGAACAUCUGUAUACACUGUUAGCAAUUCUAAUAAUGAAUUCGUGCUCAUUUCGGACCCUAACGGUGCUAAAUCAAUCGGAUUAUUGUGCUUCCGUCAAGAGGAUGCCGAGGCGUUUCUCGCUCAGGUACGGUUGCGGAAGGGCGAAGUUAGAGGUGGAGCUAAGGUAGUUCCACUGACACUUGAUCAGGUUUACAUGUUGAAGGUUGAAGGAAUCGCAUUUCGAUUUUUGCCAGAUCCCGUUCAAGUUCAGAAUGCAAUAGAGUUAAAAGCUUCUGAUGUAAAGACUGGAUUUGAUGGAGUCCCUGUUUUCCAGUCUGACCUCCUAGUUGUGAAAAAGAGAAACAGACGAUACUGUCCAAUAUACUUUCGAAAGGAGGAUAUAGAAAAGGAAUUGUCGUCAAGGGCAUCUAGAGGAGGCGUUUCUCAGCACAUUAUGGUAGGGAGUUUAGAAGAUGUCCUUAAAAAAAUGGAGAUAAGUCAGAGACAUUCUGGUUGGGAGGACCUUAUUUUUAUUCCUCCAGGCAAAAGCCAUUCACAGCACAUUCAAGAUGUCACAAAAGCAUGAAUUUCUUGGAAGCAACUUCUGUUCGAAAAAAAUCCAAAUAGAGGCAGGUUCACAUUCCCCCCCCCCCUGCACUUGGUCGACCAGAAAAAUCCAAAUAGUUAAGCUCCGUAGUGCUGGAAUAGCUUAAAGAUGCAUGAAGGAUCAAGUUUUGCUUGAAAAUUUAAUGGGGGAACAACUAACAUGGUAUACAUUAAGUCGAUGAGUUGGUAACUAGAGUGGCAUAAUAUACUCGGUGUCAUCUGUACAUGCACAGUUUGAAUUGUUAAAUUACGUUUCGCUCUUCUGCCAUAACUUUUGUUGAUUCAUGAGAUAAAAAUUUUCCAGUAAUGCAUCCAUUAUUUAAUAC
Non-coding RNA from Nicotiana tabacum (common tobacco), 1245 nucleotides. NCBI's taxonomy places the organism in Eukaryota, Viridiplantae, Streptophyta, Magnoliopsida, Solanales, Solanaceae. The record is from RefSeq and is a predicted model, not a curated record.